This 586-nucleotide long non-coding RNA is filed under the name Elaeis guineensis (African oil palm). Its description in RNAcentral is "long non-coding RNA (EGUI_LNC013516)". Lineage: Eukaryota; Viridiplantae; Streptophyta; Magnoliopsida; Arecales; Arecaceae. The record is from RNAcentral.
GUCGAAUAGUCAUCGGCCAGCCGUCGAUUAUGUGUCGGACCUAGUCAGCUAGACACCGACUUGAUUAGAUUCAUCGUCUUCAGCUGAUAGUCAAAUCCCGUCAAUCUUAGUCGGUUGAAUGCCAACUAGGACAAGACCCGUUGAUCCAAGUCGGUCAGUGCAGAGAUGAGAAAGAAUCAAUUAUCACACACUUAGUCGGUUGGAAGGCGAGGAAGAGAGAUAGUCGGCUAAAUCCCAAGAGUCCUCCUGACUGCAAAUAAAUGGUGCUAAAGGGCCCUCCAAUAAGAUAGAGUCCCUCUGAUUUUGGAGGCUACUGUUGUGAGGGGUUUAGUCCCACAUCGAUUAUGAGUCAGGUAUAUUCUAUCUUAUAUGAGAUACGAGACCCUCUCUCCCUCAAGAAGCAUCUUUUGGAUUAAAAUUCAAAGGACAAAAUCGUGAGGUCUAGCAAUCGCAAGUGUAUCAGCUAUGGCCCAAGGGCCGCAAACUUAUAAGCUACAACAACUGCAAGCGUACCAGCUACGGUCCAAAAACUGCAAACUUAUAAACUAUGAUAUACAUGUGCAACAGUAAUAAUAAUCAUUAGGAC